This 491-nucleotide ribosomal RNA is filed under the name uncultured bacterium. RNAcentral describes it as "bacterial SSU rRNA". It matches the Rfam family "Bacterial small subunit ribosomal RNA", at positions 28 to 524 of the family's 1533-position model. The record is from RNAcentral.
AUUGAACGCUGGCGGCAUGCCUAACACAUGCAAGUCGAACGGAGGGCUUCGGCCCUCAGUGGCGGACGGGUGAGUAACGCGUAGGGAUCUGCCCCGCAGUGGGGGACAACCUGGGGAAACUCAGGCUAAUACCGCAUACGCUCCAUGGAGGAAAGCGGGGGGACCUUCGGGCCUCGCGCUGCGGGAUGAACCUCCGUCCGAUUAGCUAGUUGGUGGGGUAAGGGCCCACCAAGGCGACGAUCGGUAGCUGGUCUGAGAGGACGGCCAGCCACACUGGGACUGAGACACGGCCCAGACUCCUACGGGAGGCAGCAGUGGGGAAUAUUGGACAAUGGGCGCAAGCCUGAUCCAGCAAUGCCGCGUGGGUGAAGACGGCCUGCGGGUUGUAAAGCCCUUUAGGCGGGAAGAACGGCCGGGCGCAAAUAGCGCGCGGCUCUGACGUUACCCGCAGAAUAAGCACCGGCUAACUCCGUGCCAGCAGCCGCGGUAAU